GUGUGUGUGUGUGUGUGUGUGGCAGCUAGAGUAACAUUACUUGAAUUUAUGUGAGGAUAGUGUUGUAGGAGUGAUAAUGGGGUGAGGCGGAAAUUGUUUUUCUAUUCCCAUUCCUGUGUCAACCGGAAAUCAGGCAGGGAUAGGGUGGGAAUGGGUAUCCUUUUUUUGUCUUUUAAGAUUUUAUAAAUUGUCCCUUUUUGUUUUACUUAAACAUCUUUCAUUUUUAUUUUUCGUUAAUCCUUUGCCAAAAAAAAAAAGCAUCAUUUGUUUAGUCUUACCUUGUGAUGUGAUAUAGACUAUAGAGUUCUGAACAAUGAAUGUUUUAUGAAGUGAAGAUUCUUGUAACUGCUUGAAUGCUCCGUCUCUCCCUUCUCUGUUGUCUGCAUGUGUGUGUGUACUCAUGCAUCUGCAUCCGAUGACUAGCAUAGCUACAAAUUAUAGACUUCAGUGAAGAAAGGUAUGACAUGUCUGCUCCAGUGUUUGGUGAGAGAAGACUGUCAGACUGAUGAGCAUGAUAUCUACCAAGCUCCUAUUCUUCUAACCACCUUAGAAGGCUCAACAAGAAGUAAAUGAUUGCUUCCUGAGAGUAACAGAUGAUCGUGCGAGUAUUAUGUAAUAUGUAUAUGCAAUUAAUCCUUAAGCUAAAAACAUCAGGGCAAGGGAGGGAAGGAAGGAGAGGCAUAAAAACUAUUUUGUUAUACUAGUUCAUGUAGGCUUUCUCCAGAUUAAGUGCUGAUGCAUCUUCCACAAUUCCAGGUACAAUGUAUUGGGCCUAUCUA
Molecule: unclassified non-coding RNA, 779 nt
Filed under: Hevea brasiliensis (rubber tree)
Lineage: Eukaryota; Viridiplantae; Streptophyta; Magnoliopsida; Malpighiales; Euphorbiaceae
Source: RNAcentral